UGGGGUGCCCGAAAGGGAACGGGGACACAGGUGCUGCAUGGCUGUCGUCAGCUCGUGUCGUGAGAUGUUGGGUUAAGUCCUGCAACGAGCGCAACCCCUGCCAUUAGUUGCCAGCGGCUUGGCCGGGCACUCUAAUGGGACUGCCGGUGACAAACCCGAGGAAGAUGGGGACGACGUCAAGUCAUCAUGGCCCUUAUGGGUAGGGCUUCACAC
RNAcentral lists this ribosomal RNA (213 nucleotides) under uncultured Hydrogenophilus sp. Its description in RNAcentral is "partial 16S ribosomal RNA". It matches the Rfam family "Bacterial small subunit ribosomal RNA", at positions 1010 to 1221 of the family's 1533-position model. Lineage: Bacteria; Pseudomonadati; Pseudomonadota; Hydrogenophilia; Hydrogenophilales; Hydrogenophilaceae. The record is from RNAcentral.